GAUGAACGCUGGCGGCGUGCUUAACACAUGCAAGUCGAACGGGAAUUAUUUUAUUGAAACUUCGGUCGAUUUCAUUUAAUUCUAGUGGCGGACGGGUGAGUAACGCGUGGGUAACCUGCCUUAUACAGGGGGAUAACAGUCAGAAAUGGCUGCUAAUACCGCAUAAGCGCACAGAGCUGCAUGGCUCAGUGUGAAAAACUCCGGUGGUAUAAGAUGGACCCGCGUUGGAUUAGCUUGUUGGCAGGGUAACGGCCUACCAAGGCGACGAUCCAUAGCCGGCCUGAGAGGGUGAACGGCCACAUUGGGACUGAGACACGGCCCAGACUCCUACGGGAGGCAGCAGUGGGGAAUAUUGCACAAUGGGGGAAACCCUGAUGCAGCGACGCCGCGUGAAGGAAGAAGUAUCUCGGUAUGUAAACUUCUAUCAGCAGGGAAGAUAGUGACGGUACCUGACUAAGAAGCCCCGGCUAACUACGUG
This 478-nucleotide ribosomal RNA is filed under the name uncultured bacterium. RNAcentral's name for it is "partial 16S ribosomal RNA". It matches the Rfam family "Bacterial small subunit ribosomal RNA", at positions 28 to 507 of the family's 1533-position model. The record is from RNAcentral.